RNAcentral lists this ribosomal RNA (262 nucleotides) under uncultured bacterium. RNAcentral describes it as "partial 16S ribosomal RNA". It matches the Rfam family "Bacterial small subunit ribosomal RNA", at positions 92 to 354 of the family's 1533-position model. The record is from RNAcentral.
UUAGUGGCGGACGGGUGAGUAACGCGUGGAAAACCUGCCGUAUACUGGGGGAUAACACUUAGAAAUAGGUGCUAAUACCGCAUAAGCGCACAGCUUCGCAUGAAGCGGUGUGAAAAACUCUGGUGGUAUACGAUGGUUCCGCGUCUGAUUAGCUAGUUGGUGGGGUAAUGGCCUACCAAGGCAACGAACAGUAGCCGGCCUGAGAGGGUGAACGGCCACAUUGGGACUGAGACACGGCCCAAACUCCUACGGGAGGCAGCAG